GUCCAGCUGACGAGUUCUAAAUAGGACGAGACUCGCAUCCUGGAU
Schistosoma curassoni is the source of this 45-nucleotide non-coding RNA. Lineage: Eukaryota; Metazoa; Platyhelminthes; Trematoda; Strigeidida; Schistosomatidae. The record is from Rfam.